UAGUCGUAGGUGAACCUGCGUCUGGAUCAUUAACGUAACGCUUGUGGUUUAAGUCAUGGUGCAUGGUGGGUGCAGUAUUGAGCUUCCAGCGGCCUUUACUGCAUCUCUAACAAACGCUCUGUAUUAACUCGCAAAGACAGUCAUGUUAUCUCGCGAUUCAACCCUCAAUAUGCUCUAAGUUUAAACCACACUAUAAGGCUUAGACGCGACAGUGUUUGGCGCCUAUGAGAAACCAUCCACCCGGUUAGAUCUAGAGCCGAAAGGCGAUAGCUCUAGCCUAACGCAGAUGGGAGCCACAACCCCCUCAACCUUUCCCUCGGGAAAGGCACUUAAUGGUGAAUCUCUUGGCUAAU
Molecule: unclassified non-coding RNA, 353 nt
Filed under: soil metagenome
Description: partial internal transcribed spacer 1
Source: RNAcentral